AAGCGUUUGCGACCAGACUUUUUCCAGGCGGAUCAUCCGGUGUUCUCACCGGUGCACUUCGUCUGGUUUAGGCCAGCAUCGGUUUUCGUAGGGGGAUAAAAGCCUGGGGAAUGUGGCCCUCUCGAGGGUGUUAUAGCCCCUAGCAUAAUACCCCUACGGGGACCGAGGACCGCGCUCUGCAAGGAUGCUGGCGUAAUGGUCGUCAACGA
This 209-nucleotide ribosomal RNA is filed under the name Vamsapriya sp. Its description in RNAcentral is "partial large subunit ribosomal RNA". The record is from RNAcentral. Lineage: Eukaryota; Fungi; Ascomycota; Sordariomycetes; Xylariales; Vamsapriyaceae.